Long non-coding RNA from Solanum tuberosum (potato), 5011 nucleotides. RefSeq lists it as uncharacterized. The record is from RefSeq and is a predicted model, not a curated record. Lineage: Eukaryota; Viridiplantae; Streptophyta; Magnoliopsida; Solanales; Solanaceae. The transcript is spliced from 2 exons.
CUUUCAAGGGACCUGACACACCUCUUCAUCUCUUUUUAUACUCUCUCCCCCAUCUCUUUUCAAAAAUUCAAACUCUUCUCUCAAAUCUUUCCAGAAACCCUAACUUUUGUUCUCUUCUUUUUCUCUUUCUCUCUCUUCAAAAUGUCUCAAACUCCAUCUUAUUCCCAAAAAAUGAUGGAUGUUCUAAAUGAAAUAGACCUUGUUGCCUUUGUCUCCCCCUCCAGUAACCCUAUCUCAACCAUUCUUCCGGUUAAAGAUUCCCAAACCCCAACCUCUGAAAUCUUUCUUAAUUCUGCUGACAAAGCCCCUCCGGUGUACUCCCCUUCUCUAGAUCUAAAUGACCCCUAAAAUACCUCUCCUGAUGAGGCUGUGUUGCCCAUAGUGGGUCAAGAAAGUGAAGCCCCUUAACUUCAUCUCAACCAUGUCUCAUCUCCUCUAUUUUAUCUAAACUUUCCUUUGAGGGAGACCUUCUUGAAGAAAAGAACUCUGAGUCGAACAUUUUGGCUACUAGUGAGGAAUUAGUUGUGGAAACUCUCACCGAAAUGAGGGAAGGCACAAGGACUCCAUUUUCUGAGGAAGAAGACAGAAUUCGAGGCUCAUCUAGAGACCUCUGAACCAGAGUUUGACAAAGCCCAAAACUGUUCCACCCUCUACUACUGCAGAUGACGAAGAUGAUCUUCCCCUACGCUGGGCCGUGCAAAGAAGGAUGGUGCCUAUCUCUAGCAAGCGAAAAAAGAAAGUAACUGAAGAGACAUCUACAAAGAAAAUCCCCCAUCCUACUAUGGUUUCAACAAGGAAGUUAAGGAGUGAUGCAAUGAGGCAAAUAAGGCUAGCACAACUGAGAACAGGAAAAGAAGAAAGAUUGCAGUAGAAGAGAACCUGGUCCACAAGAGGUAGUGGUUGAAGUAUCAAAUGACAAGGAUGAAAGUGAAACUGAAUCAGAAAACAUCAUUUCUGCAGUUGAAAAGGGGAGAAAAAAGACAUUAGGAAAGCAAAAACCCAAAACAAGGAGAGCUUCAGUCAGAAAAGAAGUUGACUCGAAGAAAGGAGAGAAAAAGGAGCAAGGGAGGAAGAGAGUGAAGGAGACCACUAAAAGAAAAAGAUAAGUGUCGCCUGACACUGAGGAAAUUUUUGCAGAAUCUGAGUUCAAGUCUGAGAAGGGACCAGGUUCAAGGGAUAAAAAGAGGAAGGUAGAGAAUAAGGCAACUAGGGAGGAGAUAAUUGGCAUUUGAGAAAACAGAAGGUUUUAAAUGGAAGAGUGUUUGAUCGUGAGAUAAUUACCAAGCCAGGAAUGAGCAAUCCGGUUGAUUCUGUGGAAAUCCAAGGAUGGACUCACUUGUUCAUAGAUCUUAUUUCAGUGUUGCAUAAAAAUCAGGUAAGGGACUUUUACUAUAAUGCUGAAUUCACAGUAGAUGGGAGUCUCAAUACAUAAGUAGGUGAUAUAAUUUUUCACUUUAAUGAGGAAAGGUUGGGAGAGAUUCUAGGUGUACCCCCAUAAGGGAUUAGGUAUGUGGUUGGACAAUCGUGCUCUAAAAGGUUUGUUCAAAAAAAUGGAAAACUCCCAAAGUUAAAUUGUGUUGGAAUUCCCAAAAAGCUUCUGAAGGGGGAAUAUCAAUUACGUUUCGAGUUGGUGAAUAAAGUGCUUCUUCCUAGAACUGAGAAGCGAACAGUUGCUUUUGCGGGUGACCUUUUUCUAAUGGAAGCAUUGUGCAAGUUUGACUCCAUCAACCUUCCAUCCAUCAUGCUCGAGAAUAUGCCCAAGACUCUUAUAGAGCAAAAAGAGAAACAUGGCAUGGGUUAUGGCUACUUCUUAACAAGAGUGUUCAAAUAUAUGGAGAUUCCUCUUGAAGCAGGUGUGAGAGAAACAAUAAAGCAAUCUUUCUCCAUGAACACCCUGGUUGAGUGUGAGUGUAUGGAAGGAAAUAUAGGGUACAUGAGCAAAAUGACUGAGUUGGUGGUAGAACAGAGUAAGUUGAGGCAUGAACUAAAGGAAAUGACAGCAUUAUUGAGCCAUAAAGAUGCAUAAAUAGUUGUGCUGAAGGCACAAUUGGUGAGGGCUCAAACUGAGGGACCAGGUUCGGCUGAAGUCGCAGAAGUGAUGGCCAAAAAUGAAAGCGUCGUGACAUAAAAUUCUGAACUCAAGGAAAAGGUAAAUAAGACUCAUGACAAUGUAGAUGCUCGACUAACUCUUGUCCUUCAAUCCAUCGCCCAAAAGCCGCCUCCUUCCUAAUUCUUAUCUGGUCCUACCUAUCCAUCUUCCCUUUAUCUUUUUCUUUGUGUGGGCAUUGUCUCGUUGUUCUCUUAGGAGUUUGUUUAUAAUGUUUUUAAUGUUAUCUUAUAUGCAAUGAAAUGAAUUCCCUUUUUUUUUGUUGAAUGGCCUUUCUUAAUUUUCUACUUUUCUUUUAUGCUUGUGUUGCCAAAUGGCCAUGGUUUUACCAUACUUGCUUACUCUAAAUUCUGGUUUACUGCCUUUUCUUUUUUAUGAUGCCAAACGGGGGAAUAAUGGUAUGCUUAGGAUAGAAAUUUGACCUGUUUCACUAGGGAUUGGGAUAGGUACCUGGUACCUGAUGCGGUUGACAGGGGGAAGAAGUGGGUAGGAAAAGAGAAGUCUGUCAUCAUAAAAAAGGGGGGAAAUGUUAAUAUGUAGUUUUGAUGAUUUGACAAACCAUGGGAUCUGAUAGGGGACCUGAUCCCAUGUGAGAAUGGUGCUCUUGUACGAGAAAAUGACAGCUGGAAAAAGUACUCUGCUCACUCUGAUAUCUGCAGGAGGUGGUGCGCGUCUGGUGUAGAGCGACAGGCUGUAUGCCAAUAGUAUUGCUUCUAGGGUUUUGUGUCCAUCAUAUAUAAGCUUCAUAUCGAUGGACACAACCUAGUUUUUGCAUCCCAAAAGCUGGAAAUACAGCAAAUGCCAUUCUCUCUAGAAAUAUUCUCCUAAAGAACAACAAGGGACCUAUAGAGUUGUCAUUGUUCUUAGUUGUUGUAGGUUUAUAUUUCCAUGAUUAUCCUUGUAGAUCUAUUCCUGUGUUAUAAAGGAAUUAGAUUAGUUCAUGUUUUUAUCAUUGAUUCUGAGUUGUAGCUAGAGUUAGCUAUGGUGAGUUAGUGAAGUCUAAAUUGAUUAGAGUUAGUUGAUUUAGUGAGCAGCAGAGUUGUUGCUUUGGAGCUUGUUUGUAACAGAGUUGUUACAGUAAGGGGGAGGAAUUUAGUGUUAAAUUCCUAGAUUGCAAGAGCUUUUAAUCUGAAUCUUUUCUCCUUAAUGAAAAUGGAGUUGGGUUGUAAUCAUGUGAGUACAGGUCGUGGUUUUCUCCUCCCUUGAGCAAGGGGGUUUCCACGUAAACUGAUUGUGUCUUUUAUUUUAACACAUUUAUUUAAGUUACUGUUCAUUCUGAGUCAAGGGACCUGGUCCAUUGACAUGUAGUGGACGUAUACAUUCUAGGAUAGACCAAGACCAGAGCCUAAACCGAAGUCAGGAAACUGGCUGAUUUUCAUUUGGCAAUGGUUAUUGUCACUCUUUUAUAUGUCUUCUAGUGCACCAGUCUUCCAAUAGAAUUUUGAAUACUACCUGUAAGAUUGUAGGAACCAAUGUCGAGUAGAUUCAAAUUCACCAGGUUUGAGAUCUCUCUUGGUAUGCUUCCACCAAUUCUGUUUCCGAAGAAGAGUAAGCAUUGUAACUGACUAGAAAUGCUACCUAUUGAAUGGGGUAAUGUACCUCUCGUAAAUGUUGUUUUUGAUAUUGAAGUGCAUAGUUCUUUCUUCUUUUUUUUUUGUAAAUAUUAAGCCAUCAGCAUCACAGCUUAGAGCACAAUGAAGUAAACUUUUCAGUUGUUCUUAUAGUAAUAUUUCUCUCCUGCUAACUACAACUAACACAAUGAGGGCAAAGUGUGUAUGCAUAGAUGAUGCUUGUUAUAAGCUACAAAUGAAAUUCACUGUACAUUUAUAGGUCAGGGUUCGAGUUGUAGAAGUACCACUAUACUUGUAUUAGGAUAAACUAUCUAUAUCACACCUCUUGAAUGUGAUCUUUCCCUGGACUUGAGCUACUUUUUUAUUCAUUUAUAGAAUUGGCCACAGUAUCUAUAGUAACUCUUUUAGAUUAAGCUUUAGAAAGAUAAAGCACAAUUUUAUUUUUCAGGCAAUGUUUUGGUAACAGAGAAUUGGAGUUGUGAGGCUUUUUUGUGGUAAAAAUUGUUAAUUAGACUAGAAGUCGUUAUAUCCUUUGAACAAAACUGAUAUACAUAAACUCAUAAUAAAGGUUGUUACAAGAGAUAUUAAGUGUCUUAUUUCCUUACAACUCAGAUAAAAUCAGUGGUACUUCUUCCAAUCGAUUUGUGAUUCAUAUAUAGAGUCAUCAACUGGUAUAUGACAACAAUAUUAUGCUUGUUUUUCUUUUGCAAAGGAGAAAAUUGAAGAAAUCCGAAGUCAAAGGACAGAAAGUAUUGUCGAAGUUUCACCUAAUGAUGCACUUGGUAUAGUACUCGGUCCCGAACAUCCGGGCCAUGUUUAAGGGUUAGGCUUGGGUGUUUUUCCAGCUAUGGCAUUCAAACGAACAUCUAGGAGAUUUUAUCAUGUUAAUGUGAGUUCAUCUAGCACUAGCGCUCCAACUCCGGAGUGGCAGCAAGAGAUGACGAGUAUGAAAUUACAACUAAAUGUUCUACUUAGCUUAUAUCAAAGAAACAUAGGGAAAUAUCCUUGAAGAGUUUGCUCACUUAUUUCUACCUCCUCCACAGGCAUCAAAUAUAGGAAGUGAUACUCAACAGAUACCAAUCAGACCAAACGUCGAUUAGAAAGCUUGAAAUGGGAGUAACAACGAUGAUGGAUCAAGCACCAACAGAAAUCAGUUUUAGUACUUUUUUUUUUUGGGAUAUUCUUGUUGAAUGAUACUUUGAAAUUAAUAUUUUGAUGAUGUAAUUUUGAACUGUCAAACAAUACUUUAAAACAUUAAUAUUUUGAUGAUGUAAUUUUGUGUAAUUUUGAAGUACUUUUAUUUUAUAUAAUGAAUAUUUUGUUUGAUCUUUUA